CAGGCCUAACACAUGCAAGUCGAACGAAGGCUUCGGCCUUAGUGGCGCACGGGUGCGUAACGCGUGGGAAUCUGCCCUUUGGUACGGAAUAACUCAGGGAAACUUGAGCUAAUACCGUAUGAUGUCGAGAGACCAAAGAUUUAUCGCCAGGGGAUGAGCCCGCGUCCGAUUAGCUUGUUGGUGGGGUAAUGGCCUACCAAGGCGACGAUCGGUAGCUGGUCUGAGAGGAUGAUCAGCCACACUGGGACUGAGACACGGCCCAGACUCCUACGGGAGGCAGCAGUGGGGAAUAUUGGACAAUGGGCGAAAGCCUGAUCCAGCAAUGCCGCGUGAGUGAUGAAGGCCUUAGGGUUGUAAAGCUCUUUUACCCGGGAAGAUAAUGACUGUACCGGGAGAGUAAGCCCCGGCUAACUCCGUGCCAGCAGCCGCGGUAAU
Molecule: ribosomal RNA, 435 nt
Filed under: uncultured bacterium
Lineage: Bacteria
Description: bacterial SSU rRNA
Rfam family: Bacterial small subunit ribosomal RNA
Source: RNAcentral